GAUGAACGCUGGCGGCGUGCCUAAUACAUGCAAGUCGAGCGAACAGAUAAGGAGCUUGCUCCUUUGACGUUAGCGGCGGACGGGUGAGUAACACGUGGGUAACCUACCUAUAAGACUGGGAUAACUUCGGGAAACCGGAGCUAAUACCGGAUAAUAUUUCGAACCGCAUGGUUCGAUAGUGAAAGAUGGUUUUGCUAUCACUUAUAGAUGGACCCGCGCCGUAUUAGCUAGUUGGUAAGGUAACGGCUUACCAAGGCGACGAUACGUAGCCGACCUGAGAGGGUGAUCGGCCACAUUGGAAGUUAGACACGGUCCAGACUCCUACGGGAGGCAGCAGUAGGGAAUCGUCCGCAAUGGGCGAAAGCCUGACGGAGCAACGCCGCGUGAGUGAUGAAGGUCUUCGGAUCGUAAAACUCUGUUAUUAGGGAAGAACAUACGUGUAAGUAACUGUGCACGUCUUGACGGUACCUAAUCAGAAAGCCACGGCUAACUACGUG
RNAcentral lists this ribosomal RNA (497 nucleotides) under uncultured bacterium. RNAcentral's name for it is "partial 16S ribosomal RNA". It matches the Rfam family "Bacterial small subunit ribosomal RNA", at positions 28 to 507 of the family's 1533-position model. The record is from RNAcentral.